CCCAGAUAGUUUAACCAAAACACCUAGGUCGUGACCCUAGAAAUAGAGUUACACUCUUCUGGGCU
This 65-nucleotide transfer RNA is filed under the name Agama boulengeri. RNAcentral describes it as "tRNA-His". Lineage: Eukaryota; Metazoa; Chordata; Lepidosauria; Squamata; Agamidae. The record is from RNAcentral.